This 497-nucleotide ribosomal RNA is filed under the name uncultured bacterium. Its description in RNAcentral is "partial 16S ribosomal RNA". It matches the Rfam family "Bacterial small subunit ribosomal RNA", at positions 28 to 507 of the family's 1533-position model. The record is from RNAcentral.
GAUGAACGCUGGCGGCGUGCCUAAUACAUGCAAGUCGAGCGAACAGACGAGGAGCUUGCUCCUCUGACGUUAGCGGCGGACGGGUGAGUAACACGUGGAUAACCUACCUAUAAGACUGGGAUAACUUCGGGAAACCGGAGCUAAUACCGGAUAAUAUAUUGAACCGCAUGGUUCAAUAGUGAAAGACGGUUUUGCUGUCACUUAUAGAUGGAUCCGCGCCGCAUUAGCUAGUUGGUAAGGUAACGGCUUACCAAGGCAACGAUGCGUAGCCGACCUGAGAGGGUGAUCGGCCACACUGGAGCUGAGACACGGUCCAGACUCCUACGGGAGGCCGCAGUAGGGAAUCUUCCGCAAAGGGCGGAAGCCUGACGGAGCAACGCCGCGUGAGUGAUGAAGGUCUUCGGAUCGUAAAACUCUGUUAUUAGGGAAGAACAAAUGUGUAAGUAACUAUGCACGUCUUGACGGUACCUAAUCAGAAAGCCACGGCUAACUACGUG